CCCUUCUCAGGAUCUCACCUGGAGAGUUUCUGGUACUCUACCAAUCUCGGCUGCGGGAGGGAGAGUCAAGCAGAUGCGUACCCAUUCCAUUCCUAGCUUGGGCAGUAGCUAGUGAGUGGAAGGCAAACUGCUACAAGU
This is a small nucleolar RNA of Tachyglossus aculeatus (Australian echidna), 138 nucleotides long. The record is from RefSeq and is a predicted model, not a curated record. Lineage: Eukaryota; Metazoa; Chordata; Mammalia; Monotremata; Tachyglossidae.